AACGCGAAGAACCUUACCUACUCUUGACAUCCAGAGAACUUUCCAGAGAUGGAUUGGUGCCUUCGGGAACUCUGAGACAGGUGCUGCAUGGCUGUCGUCAACUCGUGUUGUGAAAUGUUGGGUUAAGUCCCGCAACGAGCGCAACCCUUAUCCUUUGUUGCCAGCGGUUCGGCCGGGAACUCAAAGGAGACUGCCAGUGAUAAACUGGAGGAAGGUGGGGAUGACGUCAAGUCAUCAUGGCCCUUACGAGUAGGGCUACACACGUGCUACAAUGGCGUAUACAAAGAGAAGCGACCUCGCGAGAGCAAGCGGACCUCAUAAAGUACGUCGUAGUCCGGAUUGGAGUCUGCAACUCGACUCCAUGAAGUCGGAAUCGCUAGUAAUCGUAGAUCAGAAUGCUACGGUGAAUACGUUCCCGGGCCUUGUACACACCG
Molecule: ribosomal RNA, 434 nt
Filed under: uncultured Serratia sp.
Lineage: Bacteria; Pseudomonadati; Pseudomonadota; Gammaproteobacteria; Enterobacterales; Yersiniaceae
Description: bacterial SSU rRNA
Rfam family: Bacterial small subunit ribosomal RNA
Source: RNAcentral